UGGCCCUGACCGAUACUUGGGCGGGUGAGUGCGGGGUCCAGAGAGAAACGGCCUCUGUGGGGAGGAGUGAGGGGCCCGCCCGGUGGGGGCGCAGGACUCAGGGAGCCGCGCCCGGAGGAGGGUCUGGCGGGUCUCAGCCCCUCCUCGCCCCCAGGCUCCCACUCCUUGAGGUAUUUCAGCACCGCUGUGUCGCGGCCCGGCCGCGGGGAGCCCCGCUACAUCGCCGUGGAGUACGUAGACGACACGCAAUUCCUGCGGUUCGACAGCGACGCCGCGAUUCCGAGGAUGGAGCCGCGGGAGCCGUGGGUGGAGCAAGAGGGGCCGCAGUAUUGGGAGUGGACCACAGGGUACGCCAAGGCCAACGCACAGACUGACCGAGUGGCCCUGAGGAACCUGCUCCGCCGCUACAACCAGAGCGAGGCUGGGAAUGAAUGGCUGCGACAUGGGGCCCGACGGACGCCUCCUCCGCGGGUAUCACCAGCACGCGUACGACGGCAAGGAUUACAUCUCCCUGAACGAGGACCUGCGCUCCUGGACCGCGGCGGACACCGUGGCUCAGAUCACCCAGCGCUUCUAUGAGGCAGAGG
This 587-nucleotide unclassified non-coding RNA is filed under the name Homo sapiens (human). Its description in RNAcentral is "major histocompatibility complex, class I, F (multiple genes)". Lineage: Eukaryota; Metazoa; Chordata; Mammalia; Primates; Hominidae. The record is from RNAcentral.